This 400-nucleotide ribosomal RNA is filed under the name uncultured bacterium. Its description in RNAcentral is "bacterial SSU rRNA". It matches the Rfam family "Bacterial small subunit ribosomal RNA", at positions 356 to 773 of the family's 1533-position model. The record is from RNAcentral.
GGGGAAUUUUGCGCAAUGGGGGAAACCCUGACGCAGCAACGCCGCGUGCGGGACGAAGGCCUUCGGGUUGUAAACCGCUUUCAGCAGGGAAGACCUUGACGGUACCUGCAGAAGAAGCCCCGGCUAACUACGUGCCAGCAGCCGCGGUAAUACGUAGGGGGCGAGCGUUAUCCGGAUUCAUUGGGCGUAAAGCGCGCGCAGGCGGCCGAUCAAGCGGAACCUCUAAUCCCGGGGCUCAACCCCGCGGCCGGGUUCCGAACUGGUCGGCUCGAGUUCGGUAGAGGAGGGUGGAAUUCCCGGUGUAGCGGUGGAAUGCGCAGAUAUCGGGAAGAACACCGAUGGCGAAGGCAGCCCUCUGGGCCGACACUGACGCUGAGGCGCGAAAGCUGGGGGAGCGAAC